ACGCGGCCACAUAACCGUCCAGGGGGCGGGGGACAGCGCGGUGAAAUGGGAAAGGGUUUAACUGGGGGAUCUAGGUGCUGGGGACACUGACAUUUUCGGACCCCGGCCGCAGCCCUGAGUCAGCUUCCCCGCUCCUCGCCCGCCCGGCUGCGCCUGCGCGGAGCCGCCUCACUAUCACUCAGCAAGCGCGCCGCCUGCGAGAAGCGACCGGACACUUCGAGAAGGGAAGUGGAGAGGCGAGGAGUGGGCGGGCCUGCGGGGCGCGGCGGGGCGGGAUUGGCUGGAUGGCUGGUGUCGUCUUCGGUGCGCGCCGGCGCCACUGGGCCGCGGCCUGGCGGGAUUGGCCGGUCUGCGGGUGACGUUGUCGGGGCGCGCCCGGAAACCCCAAGGCCCGGACGGCUCUCAGAUCCGGCGGCUGCGGAUAAAUGGCCGUAGGCCGCGGGCAGCGAGAUGUUGCGUUCCGGUGUGGGUGUGCCUUCGACGGCGUCUCGGUGCCAGUGUCGAGGUUCUUUCUGCUUAGCUACCCAGAGCCGACUACGGAGGAGGACACC
This 551-nucleotide small RNA is filed under the name Pan troglodytes (chimpanzee). RNAcentral's name for it is "processed transcript". The record is from RNAcentral. Lineage: Eukaryota; Metazoa; Chordata; Mammalia; Primates; Hominidae.